UACGUAGGGAGCAAGCGUUGUCCGGAAUCAUUGGGCGUAAAGCGCGCGUAGGUGGUCCCGUAAGUCCGCUGUGAAAGUCAAAGGCUCAACCUUUGAAAGCCGGUGGAUACUGUGGGACUAGAGUACGGAAGAGGCGAGUGGAAUUCCUGGUGUAGCGGUGGAAUGCGCAGAUAUCGGGAAGAACACCUAUGGCGAAGGCAGCUCUCUGGGACGGUACUGACGCUGAGACGCGAAAGCGUGGGGAGCGAACAGG
This 253-nucleotide ribosomal RNA is filed under the name uncultured bacterium. RNAcentral describes it as "partial 16S ribosomal RNA". It matches the Rfam family "Bacterial small subunit ribosomal RNA", at positions 524 to 776 of the family's 1533-position model. The record is from RNAcentral.